RNAcentral lists this ribosomal RNA (253 nucleotides) under uncultured bacterium. RNAcentral describes it as "partial 16S ribosomal RNA". It matches the Rfam family "Bacterial small subunit ribosomal RNA", at positions 524 to 776 of the family's 1533-position model. The record is from RNAcentral.
GACAGAGGGUGCAAACGUUGCCCGGAAUCACUGGGCGUAAAGGGCGUGUAGGCGGGAAGGAGAGUCAGUCGUGAAAUCUCUCGGCUCAACCGAGAAACGUCGGCUGAUACUGCCGUUCUUGAGGGAUGCAGAGGAGACUGGAAUUCCCGGUGUAGCGGUGAAAUGCGUAGAGAUGCGGAGGAACACCGAUGGCGAAGGCAGCCCCCUGGGCUAACACUGACGCUCAGGCACGAAAGCGUGGGGAGCAAACAGG